RNAcentral lists this ribosomal RNA (497 nucleotides) under uncultured bacterium. Its description in RNAcentral is "partial 16S ribosomal RNA". It matches the Rfam family "Bacterial small subunit ribosomal RNA", at positions 28 to 507 of the family's 1533-position model. The record is from RNAcentral.
GAUGAACGCUGGCGGCGUGCCUAAUACAUGCAAGUCGAGCGAACGGACGAGAAGCUUGCUUCUCUGAUGUUUGCGGCGGACGGGUGAGUAACACGUGGAUAACCUACCUAUAAGACUGGGAUAACUUCGGGAAACCGGAGCUAAUACCGGAUAAUAUUUUGAAACGCAUGGUUCAAAAGUGAAAGACGGUCUUGCUGUCACUUAUAGAUGGAUCCGCGCUGCAUUAGCUAGUUGGUAAGGUAACGGCUUACCAAGGCAACGAUGCAUAGCCGACCUGAGAGGGUGAUCGGCCACACUGGAACUGAGACACGGUCCAGACUCCUACGGGAGGCAGCAGUAGGGAAUCUUCCGCAAUGGGCGAAAGCCUGACGGAGCAACGCCGCGUGAGUGAUGAAGGUCUUCGGAUCGUAAAACUCUGUUAUUAGGGAAGAACAUAUGUGUAAGUAACUGUGCACAUCUUGACGGUACCUAAUCAGAAAGCCACGGCUAACUACGUG